UACGGGGGGUGCAAGCGUUGUCCGGAAUCAUUGGGCGUAAAGCGUUCGUAGGCGGCAAGGUAAGUCUGAUGUUAAAGCCCGGGGCUCAACCCCGGGGCUGCAUUGGAAACUGGCAGGCUGGAGUGCCGGAGAGGCAGGCGGAAUUCCUAGUGUAGCGGUGAAAUGCGUAGAUAUUAGGAGGAACACCAGUGGCGAAGGCGGCCUGCUGGACGGUGACUGACGCUGAGGCUCGAAAGCGUGGGGAGCAAACAGG
RNAcentral lists this ribosomal RNA (253 nucleotides) under uncultured Lachnospiraceae bacterium. RNAcentral describes it as "partial 16S ribosomal RNA". It matches the Rfam family "Bacterial small subunit ribosomal RNA", at positions 524 to 776 of the family's 1533-position model. The record is from RNAcentral. Lineage: Bacteria; Bacillati; Bacillota; Clostridia; Lachnospirales; Lachnospiraceae.